UCCUUGUCGUGUGGCCUCAGUCCUUCGCCGUCCCUCGCCGUCCUUCGCCAUCGCACGCCACCGCACCCCAUCUCUCGAAAUCUGCAGACAUCUUGAUUUUUCCCACGCUGUCUGUCAGGUCUCCGCCGCCACUCGACGCCAGGGCGCCGGGCCUUGUGGGCUGUGCUGCACCUCGGACGGCUUCGCACCAGCCAGCGCCCUCUCUCUCCUGCAGCACUCUGAUCUGCACCCCCUGAGGGGCUUCCACUGUCCGCGGGGUGAGAAUGCCCCUGGGAGUGUCACAUGACUGCCGCCCCAUGUGUGUGAGAGGCGUCCUCUGGGAGAGCAUGGAUCCUGAGGUCCCAGGAAAACAGGUGCCUGUGCCACAUUAUUUGCACGGAGAGACUGUGUCCAGUGAACGGUUCUGAUCAGUAAACUGUUGACUAGGAACAUCCCGAGAGCCAAGUUCCCAGAUGCCAGCCAAGGGCCAUCUGACCUGUUUUGAAUCUCAAUUUCCUGAUACAGAAAACAAAGGAUUGUCAGCUGACCUCUGUCCUGUGUGCCCAGUGGCCCCAGGUGACGUGUCUUCAAGAAGAGGCUGAGCUGCGGUGCUUGUAAGAUGGGUCUGCUGUGUGCAGAGGCUCCAUGGGAUGUGUUGUCUUCAUAGUAGCAGGGCGCUGGACCAUGGGUCCGCAAGGUCUCAGCCUUAGAUCCAAGGACAGUCCAAGGAAGUCCUAAGACCAUGGAGUUGGUGAUCUGGGAUCUGGGUUUGCUGAUAUUUCUCACCGUGAAUCUCUUGGUGGUGUUUGUGGGCACGAGAGGGGCAGAGAAUGGAGAGUGAGGCUACCACAUGAAGCGUCACCAGAGCUGCUCCCUGCUGCCUGCUCAGAGCACCCCGGAUCCACUGUUCAAUCUGCACAAGAUUCGGGGUCCAGACAUGGGAGACUUCAGCUGCCUCAGAGGACCGUGGACAGGGAAGGCCAGCCUCGCAUCCCUCUGUCCAUGCCUGGAAUGACUUUAAUAACCAAGAGUUUUAUUUUUGAAUUUGUAGCUGUCGUUCACUUUUUACCCACCCAUUCAAUAAACCUUACAGAAUUGC
This 1078-nucleotide long non-coding RNA is filed under the name Homo sapiens (human). The record is from RNAcentral. Lineage: Eukaryota; Metazoa; Chordata; Mammalia; Primates; Hominidae.